UAAUACGUAGGGAGCAAGCGUUGUCCGGAAUCAUUGGGCGUAAAGCGCGCGUAGGUGGCCCUGUAAGUCCGCUCUGAAAGUCGAAGGCUCAACCUUCGAAAGCGGGUGGAUACUGCAGGGCUAGAGUCCGGAAGAGGCGAGUGGAAUUCCUGGUGUAGCGGUGGAAUGCGCAGAUAUCAGGAGGAACACCAACGGCGAAGGCAGCUCGCUGGGACGGUACUGACACUGAGGCGCGAAAGCGUGGGGAGCGAACAGGAUUAGAUACCCUGGUAGUCCACGCCGUAAACGAUGGGAACUAGGUGUGGGAGGUGUCGACUCCUCCCGUGCCGGCGCUAACGCAUUAAGUUCCCCGCCUGGGGAGUACGGCCGCAAGGCUA
Molecule: ribosomal RNA, 377 nt
Filed under: uncultured bacterium
Lineage: Bacteria
Description: bacterial SSU rRNA
Rfam family: Bacterial small subunit ribosomal RNA
Source: RNAcentral